CAGUAGCCACGGUAAUACGAAGGGUGCAAGCGUUAAUCGGAAUUACUGGGCGUAAAGCGUGCGUAGGCGGUGAGUUAAGUCUGCUGUGAAAUCCCCGGGCUCAACCUGGGAAUGGCAGUGGAUACUGGCUCGCUAGAGUGUGUCAGAGGAUGGUGGAAUUCCCGGUGUAGCGGUGAAAUGCGUAGAGAUCGGGAGGAACAUCAGUGGCGAAGGCGGCCCUCUGGGACAACACUGACGCUCAUGCACGAAAGCGUGGGGAGCAAACAGGAUUAGAUACCCCCGUAGUCCCUGUCUCUUAUAC
Molecule: ribosomal RNA, 301 nt
Filed under: uncultured bacterium
Lineage: Bacteria
Description: partial 16S ribosomal RNA
Rfam family: Bacterial small subunit ribosomal RNA
Source: RNAcentral